This 1469-nucleotide long non-coding RNA is filed under the name Rattus norvegicus (Norway rat). RNAcentral's name for it is "long non-coding RNA NONRATT023097". The record is from RNAcentral. Lineage: Eukaryota; Metazoa; Chordata; Mammalia; Rodentia; Muridae.
CAUUCAGCUCUAGUUGUUGCAAAAUGUAAGUUUACAGUGGUGGCACAUCAGACUCACAGUUGUAGUACUCUGCCUGGUAAAUAUUUCCUUUCACCCUGAAAUCUGUGUCCGUCCAUUCUACAAAGGAUUACAAUUUGUCAAGUGACAAAUCCAACCCAUCUGUGGAGAUAUACCACAUUUAAAAAAGAUGUUCUGCAGAUUUUUCCCUUAUUCAGGGUGCCUCUAAUAUACACAUCACUUAAGUUCUUUAUGCCCAGAACCCUCACCAUCAUAAACACUUGGCUUCUCUAAGAGAGCCUUCAGUAGACUACAACAUGAGAGCCAUCUCCUCGUGUGCCAGCUGCUCACAAAGCCUUUUGAAACAUUUCAUCCUGAAGUGACCAGUAUUUACAUACCCUGUACCACUGUUUUCCAAACGUCUGUCUGAAGCAGAGGACUGUAUUGCUGCCGCUCUUAGGGCAAUGUGGCAGUUUUUAUUUACUUGUGAAGAAACCCAGAAAAUUCUACAUUUAUUCUGAAAAAUAGUCACACAUACAAGAACUGGGAAAAAGGCCAUACAAUCAUUGUGAUGGUUAAUGUAUCAUGUUUAUAAAUCAGUGAAAUACAAAGUAUUGGGUAUGUUGUUGCCUUCUCCAAAAUGUUCUCAGUUCUUGUCACAAACCUGUAAGCAACUGAGCAGCUUCUGUCUGUAUCUGAAGUGGAAAACACAUGUUACAUAUAAAUAGUGCAGCCUAAUUUAUAAAGCUUGAGUUUAUAAAAUAGACUGGCUUCUAAGAGUUUCAAGAUAACAAAGAUAGGAUAUGGUAAGAAUAAGGUCUCUUGAUAGUGAUGAUUAGAUGAGAUUCGAAGAGAGCACUAGUUCAUUUCCUUAACCCUCCACACUGUGCCCCCAGUGCUACCCUGCAGUGUCGGAAACUGAACCAGUUCCCUGUGCAUGUUAGUAAGUACCUAGGGCCAAGCUGCCGUCUGUUUUAGAAAUAACCUCGAUGACAUAUACAUGAUAGAUGUACAUCAGUUCUACACUGCAGAAGCAGCUUACGACAUUGGCUGACAGUCACUAAGGAGUUCUCAUGGUGAAGUAUAAAGGUAAAUAUGCAAAUGAGCGCUUGUGCUUUCCACAAUACUAUGCAUUUAAACACUUACGCUUUUAAAGAAGUUCUAAGUUCAUUUAUUUACUAAUGCCUCAAAGAAAGCCUAUCUGCCUUACUUUAUCAUAAAUAUCUUACCUGUUUAUCUUCUUCUGUGUGUGCUGGGUAACUCUUAGCUUUUACCAGCCAGAAUGCAGCAAGCUUUUUGUUGUUUAGCUUCAAGUAUGUCUUUCCUAAAAGCAGCAAGUUUUUGCUGUAGAAGUUUGGAUCCACUGUACAUAAAAAGGAGAAACAAAGUCACCUCCAGAGAAAUAGUGUCUUUAUUUUUAUAGUUUUAAUAUUUUGGUCUGAAUUCUAAUAAAAUUGUGUGAUUAAACAAUG